This is a long non-coding RNA of Prinia subflava (tawny-flanked prinia), 1851 nucleotides long. RefSeq lists it as uncharacterized. The record is from RefSeq and is a predicted model, not a curated record. NCBI's taxonomy places the organism in Eukaryota, Metazoa, Chordata, Aves, Passeriformes, Cisticolidae. The transcript has 3 exons.
CACGGGCCUGGCCUCCCCCGGCUCGAGGCUGCCCCGAGGAGCCGCGGAGGCUGUGGGCGAGCGGCGCAUCCAGCAGCAAACCCAAGUUUUAGUCUGCAGCGCGAAUUAGGAAACGGGCACAGAAAGAGAGAGGGAGAGGAGGAUUCCCAGCAAGGUCCACCUUAAGGCCCUUUUCCAGAGAAAACCUUCCAGUACUGCAAGUUCCAAAGCUUGAAUGAGAUAUUCUGCCAGCCUUACUCCCAAGCUGGAAUGGCAGUGACCUCAGAACUGAUCGAUCAGGCUAUCAAGCACCAGUCUUUGCAGAAGACAAGCCCUGAAGAUGAUCAAUAUUGAAAUGAUCCAGUGACCAUUAGCUAUUAAAUCUAUAUAAGAGGAAUUUCACAAUAUUUUAAUGUAGUUCUUACUUCUGACACCUGGCAGACAGGAGUUUAAUAGUUCAGCUAUUAUUCACAUACAUAAAGAUUUUGACUUUUAUUGGGUUGAUCAUAAUAAUAUUUUCUUUCAAAUAAAUGAAUAUCUCAGCCCACAAAAAGUACUGUACCUAUACUGAACUUCAAAGUCAGUAGAAUUGCGAGAGAUUUUUAUUGAAAUUUCAUGAAGCACUGCUGAAUAUGCAAGUACUGCUACAUGGAGUACUAAUGUGCUAGCUAAUAACUGUUUUAUUUUCAUACCACCAGUGUUUUAGAUAAGAAAGCCGGUCCUCUACAUUGCAUUCAGUAAAAGUGUCAUUAGCUACAAACCCUGAAUACAAGAAUUACUUGCUGUGCAUGAGUGAGUUUACCUCUGGAGCUAUAUGCAUGUUUAAGUAGAUUAGCACUUGAAACUUUGCAAACUUUUACAAAAUAAACUCUCUAACAUUACUUUAUUGUAUUCAUUCCUUUGAUUAUAGCAUUUUGGGGGAAUUUAAAUAAUGAGUCGAAGAAAGCAGUAUUUUAUGCACCCUUCAAAGCCAAGAAAGGAUCUAUUGGGGCUGUUUCUAGUUAGUGAUUUAUCUAUAAGCCUUAAACAUGUAAAUGUUACACUAAAAGAAAAAGUUGUUGUUCUUCAAUGCCAUUAAAAGUAAAAGCAUAAAGCAUAAAGCAUAAAGACUCAAAUUUUUUCAUGACUGGGUUAAAAAAAAAUUAAAAAUUGAUUUCUUCAACUUUAUUUCAUUAGCCUAUACAAGGUGUCUACCAUAAUUAGGGAUAGAUAUCUUUUUAACUCCAUUGUAACUUGUGAAUUCUGGAAAUAAUAGUUACCAUGGUACUCAUGUUCCUUUAGCAGCUUAAUUCUCUCCCAUAUUUGGGACUUCUGUGUCUGUUAAUAUGAUCAUGUACUCAAAAAGACUGAUGAGCUCUAUUAAGAGGAGGAUGUUUGCUAUCACCUAGCCUUCUUUUGUACUGAAGUGACAGUCACUGUGAUCUUAGAGCAGAGAUAUGUUACAUUAAAUACAGGUGAGUCACUUUUUUAUCUCUCCUUAUGACAUAGACUGUACAGUAGAAAGAAACAAAGCAAAGCUUUCCAGACUUCUUUUAUCCAAAAUACUUUGCCAUGUGAUGCUGUAGAUUUUUAACGGAAAUAUUAAAGUCGGUGUAUGAAUGCAGUAGGCAUGAAUGUAAAUACCUGCAUGUCCCCUUGGAUCACAUACAUCUUGGUGCUUGCAAGUACGUGUGUGUGUCUGUGUGCGUGUAAAAGAGUGAGUGCAUGAAGACCAUGAGAAAACAAAUGUGAGUACACAAAACCAGCUUGUGUAAAGUUGCCAUAGACAAGUAUAACAUUUUCUGUCCAAAAUAUUUCUUACUAUGUCGUCUUGUACUACUUUUCCUGCAACAUGUAUGUAUAGAUACUGGAGAUUGAUUGAAAGUCAGAAAA